ACUCCUACGGGAGGCAGCAGUGGGGAAUAUUGCACAAUGGGCGCAAGCCUGAUGCAGCCAUGCCGCGUGUAUGAAGAAGGCCUUCGGGUUGUAAAGUACUUUCAGCGGGGAGGAAGGCGAUAAGGUUAAUAACCUUGUCGAUUGACGUUACCCGCAGAAGAAGCACCGGCUAACUCCGUGCCAGCAGCCGCGGUAAUACGGAGGGUGCAAGCGUUAAUCGGAAUUACUGGGCGUAAAGCGCACGCAGGCGGUCUGUCAAGUCGGAUGUGAAAUCCCCGGGCUCAACCUGGGAACUGCAUUCGAAACUGGCAGGCUAGAGUCUUGUAGAGGGGGGUAGAAUUCCAGGUGUAGCGGUGAAAUGCGUAGAGAUCUGGAGGAAUACCGGUGGCGAAGGCGGCCCCCUGGACAAAGACUGACGCUCAGGUGCGAAAGCGUGGGGAGCAAACAGGAUUAGAAACCCCUGUAGUCCC
RNAcentral lists this ribosomal RNA (470 nucleotides) under uncultured organism. RNAcentral's name for it is "partial 16S ribosomal RNA". It matches the Rfam family "Bacterial small subunit ribosomal RNA", at positions 335 to 797 of the family's 1533-position model. The record is from RNAcentral.